Molecule: ribosomal RNA, 584 nt
Filed under: Niabella sp.
Lineage: Bacteria; Pseudomonadati; Bacteroidota; Chitinophagia; Chitinophagales; Chitinophagaceae
Description: partial 23S ribosomal RNA
Rfam family: Bacterial large subunit ribosomal RNA
Source: RNAcentral
AAUAGCUCACUGAUCGAGUCGUCCUGCGCGGAAGAUGUAACGGGGCUAAGCCAGUUACCGAAGCUGCGGAUGCACAGUUUACUGUGCGUGGUAGGAGAGCGUUCUGUAAGCCUGUGAAGGUGUCUGGUAACGGAUGCUGGAGGUAUCAGAAGUGCGAAUGCUGACAUGAGUAGCGUUAAAGGGGGUGAAAAGCCCCCUCGCCGUAAGCGCAAGGUUUUCUACGCAACGUUCAUCGGCGUAGAGUGAGUCGGCCCCUAAGGCGAGGCAGAGAUGCGUAGCUGAUGGGAAACAGGUCAAUAUUCCUGUACCGAUCAAUAGUGCGAUGUGGGGACGGAGAAGGUUAGCUCAGCCAGGUGUUGGAUAUCCUGGUUCAAGCAUGUAGGCGUGCCCCUUAGGCAAAUCCGGGGGGCUUAGCUGAGGUGUGAUAACGAGUCUGCUUGCAGACGAAGUGAGUGAUACCCUGCUUCCAGGAAAAGCCACUAAGCUUCAGCUAUUGACGACCGUACCGCAAACCGACACUGGUGCGCGAGAUGAGUAUUCUAAGGCGCUUGAGAGAACUCAGGAGAAGGAACUCGGCAAAUUGA